Long non-coding RNA from Gadus chalcogrammus (walleye pollock), 387 nucleotides. RefSeq lists it as uncharacterized. Lineage: Eukaryota; Metazoa; Chordata; Actinopteri; Gadiformes; Gadidae. The transcript has 3 exons. The record is from RefSeq and is a predicted model, not a curated record.
UAAACACGCGUGCCCUUGCGACAGCAAUUAAAGGGGUGAUAUCAUGCUUUAUAAACUUUUCCCUUUACGUAAGACUGUUAUAUGACGUAUGUAUACAUACAUGUUUUACUUCUGCUAAACUAAAACAAUCUGAGCGCGAGCCAGGGGGAGGAUUCGCGCCCCCCAAAGGAACGCACCGCAAUAAGAAUCGUGAAACAGCUAGUUUUUGAAAGACGCUGAAAUUGGUUUUGCAGAAAUUAACAGUGUGAGAAUAAUAAGGUGCAUUUCUAACAUACAGACUUUAACCGACACCAGGAUGAUGAAGACAACGGCCAGGAACACGACCACCGCCGCCAGACCGGUUACCGCCAUCUCCAUGACGCAUGCCGACUUAAGCGAUGAUGGAUG